This is a small nucleolar RNA of Pseudoliparis swirei, 147 nucleotides long. Lineage: Eukaryota; Metazoa; Chordata; Actinopteri; Perciformes; Liparidae. The record is from RefSeq and is a predicted model, not a curated record.
CUUCAGUGAUGAUACGAUGACGAGUCGGAACAGGCCUCUGGUUCUGGGGGUUUCUGGUUCAGAUUCACGUUCUGUGGUUCUGCUCCAGUCCCUCAGAGCCAGAGAAUCCUCCUUGGUUGAAGAUAUUGAGGCAUUUGUCUGAGAAGG